Long non-coding RNA from Oreochromis aureus, 2906 nucleotides. The record is from Ensembl. Lineage: Eukaryota; Metazoa; Chordata; Actinopteri; Cichliformes; Cichlidae.
AUAAAAUGUGUGUGAGUCAAAGUGAGGCUGUGUUUGGAGGUGUUUGCGCACAGAGAUGAACACAUUUACCAUGUCUCUCUCUUUGCUACUGCUGCUGCUGGUUUACAGCACGCAAGCUACUCAUUUUUAUGGGACAGUGAUGACCUAUUACCCAGGAGACACUUAUGCAGAUGGAUCAGUUAUGGCGACUAUUCGAUACAAGCUGAACUUCCACCAAUGCACAGACAGUGACACAUGGAGUUGCCUCAGUGGUGACUGUGGCUCUGGGAACAACACACUAUAUGAGGUAAAACAGGAAAGCAGUGGAGAGUGGUGUCAGAGAGAGGGAAUCAUGACUCGACGGGCUCCCAGCAAUGCUCCCUUCAAGCUUUGGUUGAAUAGUGGUAACUGGAUUAAUGGCAUUGUAAAUGGCAUUGUAUCAUGGAGAGCUGUGACUCUGGUGGAACUGAGGAACAGAUCUGACACUGGCAAAGCCAACUCGUCACCCCAGACCACCAACAUACCUGCUGUGAGAGUUCCCUCAAACUGUAAGAGAAAUUUCGUCUUGUUGGCGUUUGACCCUGAUGGAGAUGUGGUUAAGUGCAGAAAUGGAGAUGCAUUACUGUCAGAGUGUAUUCCAUGCACUCCACCAUCUGUCCUCAGCCUCUCACCAUCUUGUACUCUCUCAUUCAGACCCACCAAUAGCAGUAAUGAAGGUCCAUAUGCAGUACAGCUGGUGAUGGAGGACUUUCCCCGGCAGAACAUAACCCUGACUCAAACCAAUGGGACACAGACUAAUCUAACUACCAACAAUGCAAUCAGCAAAAUACCGGUCCAGUUUGUUAUAAGGGUGGAUCCUGCAGUGCCAUCCUGCACAGACGGACUCUAUCUGCCCAAGAUCCUGCCUCCAACUCCAGCCAACGGAGCUCAGCUAUAUACCCCUGUUGGACAAACUCUAGAAAUCAGCAUCAAAGCAGAGGCAACAAAUUCCAUGAUCUCUGAGCUGCUCUACAGUGGGCCCUACACUUUAUUUCAAAAUAAAACAGGACCAGGAGAGUUCAUCCUCACGUGGACGCCAUCUGAGAGCGAAACGGGAGAAAGCCACCCCAUCUGUUUUGUUGUCCAGGCAGUUUCUGGUAUAGCGAAGUAUCACUCUGACUUUCGAUGCGUCAUUGUGACUGUUGAAAAGGUUUAUGUCGCUGCCCUGAGUGCGAGGAUCUCUUUUUCAUUGCCUUUUACUGCAGACAACGUUAACAGUGUCAUCAUACAGAAGAUUAAAGAAGAACUGGAGAAACAAGGUCUGCCGCCAGAUGCGAGUCUACGCCUAGUGAGAGGAGACCAAAUAUAAAAAACAACCACAGCGCCCUCUCACUACACAUGAGUGCACAGCUCAAUAGCCUGAGAGUGUUUCUCCUGGGUGUUAUAAUGUGACACUUCUCAGGGUGAUUAUGUUUAUUAUCUGCACUCUGUUCAGAAAAAUAAAUACCAGAUUAUGAGCAUAUUUGGCAUUUGAGUCUGUAACUCUGUUUUAAUAACAGAUGUAAACUGAUCAGACUUGUACCUGAAAUGUUUUUCUCCAGUUUUUAAAAUGUAAUUUUUUAAAGAAUAUUUUUUAUUGUAUGGCAUUGGUUUCAGUUGAUUAUGUGUUGCAUGUGUAUAUCUGGUGGAUUUCAUGUAUAAGUAACUGCACUUUGCAGCAUCUUUCUCUAACUUCUUUAAUCACUGUGAGGCUCUCUUCUGCAUGUGAAAUGAAUUAAACUGGGCCUUGAGUGUUACAAUAACUGAUGUUAAGAUGCUCACAGUGAAUUCUGAGUAAAUAUCCAUCAUUACCAGUUAUCCAGUUCAGGGUUGUGUGAGAGCUGGAGAACAAUCUGUCAGUGAAUAAGAGGCAGAGUAAACCCUGGAUUGGUAGCUGUUCCAUCACACAAAAGACACACCUAUAGCUAACUUGGAAUCACCAAUAAACCGAGCAUGUGCGUUUUUGGACUGUGAGAGGAAGCCUGAGUACAUGAAAAGAACUCGAGGCAGGCACAGGGAGAAUAUGCCUAACUCAACGCAGGAGCUGACUCUGUCUCUGUAGAGCACUGCAAAAGAACUUCUGGUGGAGGUGUUGAAGAAGUUGCUGUUCUUUAGCUGUAUUAAGUAUUUAAGAAUGAGGCAUUUAAAACAUUUAGUUAGACAUUUAAACAUCUGCAAAGAAUUCAAAAUGACUAAAAAGAAAUAUGAACAUAAAAAAACACAAAAGACAAAGUGAACAAAGUGUCAUGGUCCCGGGUCAUUUGACCCAGUGUUUUGUGUUGUUGUAUUUUUAUGGCUAAGUUCAUUUGGUUUGUCUUGAGUUCGUUCCUACAUUGCCUAGGCUGUUCUGUUUAGUUCAUUGAUUAUUUAGUAAUUUUCCCUUGUGUCUUUGCCUUCUGUGUGUCUUUGUUUAAAUAGGUUGUGUGAGUUCUUGUGACUUGUUCCUCUCCUCGUGUUUCAUCCAUUUUUUCAGAGUCUGUCAUGUCUCUCUCUUUCCCCCUCAUGUUCCUUCGUGUUCCCUCACUCCCUCUCCUCUGCCUUUCCUCCACUCCUGUGUCAUGUUCCUCAGUUUCCUAUAUUGUGAAAGUCCGGUGUUUCCAUGUUUGGUAUGCUUCCCCUAUGGCAUCAUGUUUAUUCGUGUCAGCUGUGUUCCCCGUGUGUUCUCACUUCCUCAUUAUCCUCUGGUGUUUUUAUGUCAGCUUCUCCCUUGGUCCUGUGUUGCGAUCUCCCUUAUUUUUGUGCAUUUCCCUGUGUGCCUCUCUGUGUGCUUCGUUCAUAUACAUUUCCAGUUUAGUUUGUAUUUCCUUUGGUCCGGCAAUAAAGCUCUGUUUGAGUUACUUUUGCCUCCGUGAAUCUGCAUUUGGGUCCUUUCCCGCCUGCUGCACAGCCAAAUUCAUGACACAAAGACC